CCCAGGCUGGAGUGCAGGGGUGCAACCUCGGCUCCCGCAACCUCUGCCUUCCGGGUUCAAGUGAUUCUCCUGCCUCAGCUUCCUGAGUAGCUGGGAUUACAGGUGCCUGCCACCACACCCGGCUACUUUUUGUAUUUUUAGUAGAGAUGGGGUUUCAUCAUGUUGGCCAGCCUGGUCUCGAACUCCUGAACUCAGAUGAUUCACCUGCCUCGGCCUCCCAAAGUACUGGGAUUACAGGCAUGAGGCACCGUGCCCGGCUGCUUUUUUCUUUCUUUCUUUCUUUCUUUCUUUCUUUUUUUUUUGCUGGGAACCCUUUCUCCAUAAAUCCCUUGCACAGGGAUCUCUGACUCAGGUUCUGCUUCUAUAUGGCUGACGACAACACGUCAUCUGCUUUCUUUCUUUAUAAAAUCAUGGGAUGUAAAGGGUCCCUCCAUGCAGGAGUCUGGCUUCCUCCUGGGUAGGAGUCUACUCCAUUUUUGAAGCUUUCCAAGCAGCAUCCCCCUUCUCCACGUGACUGUGGACAACUAUGUUACCAUGUGCGCAGGAGGGCUCCAGAGAGCAGGUGAGUACGGAUGCUGCGAUCCCAGCAUCCCAAGUAGCUCUGUCCAUGUCAUGGCUGCAGGGCGACAUCAACGGGAAAACCACAGGCUCAGCAGGCCAAAGUCUGAAUCCCACCUGUAUUUGUUUUCCAGGCUUCACGAAUUGCCCCGAAAGCUCUUAGGUGAGGGCCACAGGUAGGCCUUCCUCUUUUAGGAAACCUAAUAUUGUAUAAAUCAGUGUAGCCUGGCCGGCGGUUCAUCCCAUGGCAGCAGCUAGCAACAGACAGGCGGUGUCCAGGACACUCACCAUAUGUUAAAAAGCAACAGCCUGGGUAAUCAUAGGCACAGAGUAAAGAUUUUUUUAAAAUUUAAAAUCAAUAAGAAUUUUAUAAUUAAAAAAAAAAAAAGUGGCCGGGCACCAGUGGCUCAUGCCUGUAAUCCCAGCGCUUUGGGCUGCCGAGACGGGUGGAUCACCUGAGGUCAGGAGUUCGAGACCAGCCUGGUCACCAUGGUGAAACCCCAUUUCUACUGAAAAUACAAAAAUUAGCUGGGUUUGGUGGCGGGUGCCUGUAACCUCCACUCACUGCAACCUCCGCCUCCUGGGCUCA
RNAcentral lists this long non-coding RNA (1147 nucleotides) under Homo sapiens (human). Its description in RNAcentral is "HSALNT0278104". The record is from RNAcentral. Lineage: Eukaryota; Metazoa; Chordata; Mammalia; Primates; Hominidae.